This 126-nucleotide small nucleolar RNA is filed under the name Oryza sativa Indica Group (long-grained rice). Its description in RNAcentral is "Small nucleolar RNA SNORD14". The record is from RNAcentral. Lineage: Eukaryota; Viridiplantae; Streptophyta; Magnoliopsida; Poales; Poaceae.
UGCAAAUGAUGCUAUAAUCAAGGUUUUUUCUCAUGACAUUCUCAGUUGCCGCCUAAGAGCUUUCGCCCUGCCAGGCUUGAAAGGUAGUGCCACUGCUGCAGCAAAUCUCCUCUUUCCUCCCCUGUA